UACGUAGGUGGCGAGCGUUGUCCGGAAUUACUGGGCGUAAAGGGCGUGUAGGCGGCCAUUUAAGUCAGAUGUGAAAUACCAUGGCUUAACCAUGGGACUGCAUUUGAGACUGGAUGGCUUGAGGAUCGGAGAGGGCAGUGGAAUUCCCAGUGUAGCGGUGAAAUGCGUAGAUAUUGGGAGGAACACCAGUGGCGAAGGCGACUGCCUGGACGACACCUGACGCUGAGGCGCGAAAGCUAGGGGAGCAAACGGG
Molecule: ribosomal RNA, 253 nt
Filed under: uncultured bacterium
Lineage: Bacteria
Description: partial 16S ribosomal RNA
Rfam family: Bacterial small subunit ribosomal RNA
Source: RNAcentral